UCCUUCCUUAAAAGAAGCCGACAAAGCACUUUUCCCCUGUAAAUUCAACGUUCAAACUCACAAAUUACGAUUCUUUCAAAUGUUUUCUUCUUUCAUAAUCCAACUUUCGAUCUCUAAUCAAUCUUUUUCUUAAGCCAAAACCAAAAUCCCCAAUUUUUAGGGUUCCUAAUCCACCCAAAAAAGCUCAAAAUCUUCAAAAAGAUCCAUUUCUCAGAGCACUGUUUAUUGGAUAUUUUUUCUUAAAUCAACUUUUUUCGAAUACCCUUUUGAGUUCUGAUGAAAACCCAUUAAUUUUCUUGGUUAGUUUGGUAGUUUUUCAGACACCCUUUUGAGUUCUGAUCAAACCCUGAAAUUUGCUUGGUUAGUAUUGUGGUUUAUUUUAUUUUAUAUGAUCGAAGAUGUAUAGCAAUUUCAAGGAG
This 419-nucleotide unclassified non-coding RNA is filed under the name Hevea brasiliensis (rubber tree). Lineage: Eukaryota; Viridiplantae; Streptophyta; Magnoliopsida; Malpighiales; Euphorbiaceae. The record is from RNAcentral.